This 465-nucleotide ribosomal RNA is filed under the name uncultured bacterium. RNAcentral describes it as "partial 16S ribosomal RNA". It matches the Rfam family "Bacterial small subunit ribosomal RNA", at positions 339 to 795 of the family's 1533-position model. The record is from RNAcentral.
CUACGGGAGGCUGCAGUGAGGAAUAUUGCGCAAUGGGGGAAACCCUGACGCAGCGACGCCGCGUGGGUGAUGAAGGCCUUCGGGUUGUAAAGCCCUGUUAGAGGGGAAGAAAGGGUAUAUGGUUAAUACCCAUAUACAUUGACGGUACCCUCAGAGGAAGCACCGGCUAACUCCGUGCCAGCAGCCGCGGUAAUACGGAGGGUGCGAGUGUUAUUCGGAUUUACUGGGCGUAAAGAGCACGUAGGCGGAUGGGUAAGUCAGAUGUGAAAGCCCGGAGCUCAACUCCGGAAUUGCAUUUGAUACUAUCUGUCUUGAGUAUGGUAGAGGGGGGUGGAAUUCCCGGUGUAGAGGUGAAAUUCGUAGAUAUCGGGAGGAACACCAGAGGCGAAGGCGACCCCCUGGGCCAUAACUGACGCUGAGGUGCGAAAGCGUGGGGAGCAAACAGGAUUAGAUACCCCAGUAGUC